GUAGGUGAACCUGCGGAAGGAUCAUUACCGAGCUAGGGUCUCUGGCCCGACCUCCAACCCUUUGUGUACCUACCUUUAUUGCUUUGGCGGGCCGUCGGGCCACCAUGGCCCGCCGCGGACCCUCGAGGCCCGCGAGAGCCCGUCAGAAGCCUCCUUUAAAACUCUACGUACGGUUAUAGUCUGAGUGGGUAUUCAAUUUAGUUAAAACUUUCAACAACGGAUCUCUUGGUUCUG
This 234-nucleotide unclassified non-coding RNA is filed under the name rhizosphere metagenome. RNAcentral describes it as "partial ribosomal RNA internal transcribed spacer region". The record is from RNAcentral.